This is a long non-coding RNA of Grammomys surdaster, 282 nucleotides long. RefSeq lists it as uncharacterized. The transcript is spliced from 3 exons. The record is from RefSeq and is a predicted model, not a curated record. NCBI's taxonomy places the organism in Eukaryota, Metazoa, Chordata, Mammalia, Rodentia, Muridae.
UCUUGUCUGGAGCAGAUGUUUCAGGAUGGUGGAGAUUGUCGUAGAAGCGGGCGCAGAAAGCUUGGUGUUUGGAUAGGAAUGAACUAGUCAGAUCUCAGCGGGCGUAGGCGAAUAAAAAGUCAGCUUGAUCUUAACAAGUUCUGUGGAGAUUUGAAGGCAAGAAGCCAGAUACUUUGGGACCCAACACUUACCUGAACAAAUGGAUCACCCAGAAUGACCGUCUACAGGACACAACUGCAACAUGAGAAAUGACCAGUUAAAAAGCAAGCAGAAGGAGCAUGG